GCCUACCAAGGCUACGACGGGUAGCUGGUCUGAGAGGACGACCAGCCACACUGGGACUGAGACACGGCCCAGACUCCUACGGGAGGCAGCAGUGGGGAAUCUUGCGCAAUGGGCGAAAGCCUGACGCAGCAACGCCGCGUGAGGGAUGAAGGUCUUCGGGUUGUAAACCUCUUUCGAGCAGGGACGAUUGUGACGGUACCUGCAGAAGAAGCUCCGGCCAACUACGUGCCAGCAGCCGCGGUGAUACGUAGGGAGCGAGCGUUGUCCGGAUUUAUUGGGCGUAAAGAGCUCGUAGGCGGCUCAGUAAGUCAGGUGUGAAAUCCUCAGGCUCAACCUGGGGCUGCCAUCUGAUACUGCUGUGGCUAGAGCCCGGUAGGGGUCCACGGAAUUCCUGGUGUAGCGGUGAAAUGCGCAGAUAUCAGGAGGAACACCAGUGGCGAAGGCGGUGGACUGGGCCGGUACUGACGCUGAGGAGCGAAAGCGUGGGGAGCGAACAGGAUUAGAUACCCUGGUAGUCCACGCCGUAAACGUUGGGCACUAGGUGUGGGACCUUGUCAACGGGUUCCGUGCCGUAGCUAACGCA
Molecule: ribosomal RNA, 583 nt
Filed under: uncultured bacterium
Lineage: Bacteria
Description: bacterial SSU rRNA
Rfam family: Bacterial small subunit ribosomal RNA
Source: RNAcentral